Small nucleolar RNA from Spea bombifrons (plains spadefoot toad), 69 nucleotides. RefSeq annotates it as small nucleolar RNA SNORD2. Lineage: Eukaryota; Metazoa; Chordata; Amphibia; Anura; Pelobatidae. The record is from RefSeq and is a predicted model, not a curated record. The transcript has a single exon.
AUGUGAAAUGAUGGUUACCAUCUUUCGGGACUGACCUGAAAUGGAGAGAACCUAAUUUACUGAUCACAU